GCCUCAAUAGCUUAGUGGUAGAGCAUUUAAUCAAAUGCCUCUUGCGGACCCUCGUAUAUUAUCAAAAGGCCAGGGUUUGAAUCCCUGUUGAGGCU
RNAcentral lists this transfer RNA (95 nucleotides) under Lentinula edodes (shiitake mushroom). It matches the Rfam family "tRNA". From Rfam's summary of the family: Transfer RNA (tRNA) molecules are approximately 80 nucleotides in length. Their secondary structure includes four short double-helical elements and three loops (D, anti-codon, and T loops). Further hydrogen bonds mediate the characteristic L-shaped molecular structure. tRNAs have two regions of fundamental functional importance: the anti-codon, which is responsible for specific mRNA codon recognition, and the 3' end, to which the tRNAs corresponding amino acid is attached (by aminoacyl-tRNA synthetases). tRNAs cope with the degeneracy of the genetic code in two manners: having more than one tRNA (with a specific anti-codon) for a particular amino acid; and 'wobble' base-pairing, i.e. permitting non-standard base-pairing at the 3rd anti-codon position. The record is from Rfam by way of RNAcentral. Lineage: Eukaryota; Fungi; Basidiomycota; Agaricomycetes; Agaricales; Omphalotaceae.